GACGGCAAGUCCCCCUGACCGGGGCCUAUCCAGAGCGGGUGCGAGGCCCAUAGCCGUCUGGGGCGUCUCGGAUGCGAUCUCCCCGGAGUCGGGUUGCUUGGGAGUGCAGCCCUAAGUGGGAGGUAAACUCCUCCUAAGGCUAAAUACCGCCGUGAGACCGAUAGCAAACAAGUACCGUGAGGGAAAGUUGCAAAGAACUUUGAAGAGAGAGUUCAAGAGUACGUGAAACUGCUCAGAGGUAAACGGGUGGGCCCUCGAAAUCCUGUGGCGAGAGGAUUCAGUGUGGAGGCCCGGAGGCGCGUGGUCGGAAGUCCAGCAGGGCAUCCCGGAUUCGGGGCCGUCCGACCGCGCCGUUUCGGUGUCCCCCGACGCAUUUGACUCUCGCCCGAAGGACGCAGCAACCGGUCGGGCCCAGAAAGCACGACGUCCUGAAGGUCGGGGAACGGCAGGUGGCCGGCGGAGUGGCCGUCACGGCGCUCUGUCGGUUGUUAGCCGCCCCGUCAGUGGACCGUCGCCCGACCGAGGUGUCACUAUGCCCCACCAUGGGGCUUCUCCGUCUCCUCCCACCAGGGAAGAGGGGGACAGAUCGCCGCUGGCGCCGGACGCUAGGGGCCGCACCCAGCAUGGGUGGGCCACCGGGCAGAACCGGUGUCGCAGGCGGCGACGGACCCCCCGGAGUACCGGAGGCUAGCUGCGAGUAGGUCGGUCACCCACCCGGCCCGUCUUGAAACACGGACCAAGGAGUCUAACAUGUGCGCGAGUCAUUGGGUCUUGAAUAGGCCCAGAGGCGCAAUGAAAGCAAAGGCCGGCAGCACGCCGGUCGAGUUGGGAUCUCCCGUACUAUGAUGCGGGGGCGCACCGACGACCCGUCCCGUCCGGCUCGCCGGUGGGGCGGAGUGUGAGCGCACACGUUGGGACCCGAAAGAUGGUGAACUAUGCCCGGACAGGACGACGCCAGAGGAAACUCUGGUGGAGGUCCGCAGCG
RNAcentral lists this ribosomal RNA (985 nucleotides) under Yamangalea frewana. RNAcentral's name for it is "eukaryotic LSU rRNA". It matches the Rfam family "Eukaryotic large subunit ribosomal RNA", at positions 177 to 882 of the family's 3401-position model. Lineage: Eukaryota; Metazoa; Arthropoda; Arachnida; Araneae; Salticidae. The record is from RNAcentral.